Molecule: ribosomal RNA, 400 nt
Filed under: uncultured bacterium
Lineage: Bacteria
Description: bacterial SSU rRNA
Rfam family: Bacterial small subunit ribosomal RNA
Source: RNAcentral
UGAGGAAUCUUCCGCAAUGGGCGAAAGCCUGACGGAGCGACACCGCGUGGAGGAUGAAGCCUUUAUUGGCGUAAACUCCUUUUCUCUGGGAAGAUAUGACGGUACCAGAGGAAUAAGGGACGGCUAACUACGUGCCAGCAGCCGCGGUAAUACGUAGGUCCCGAGCGUUAUCCGGAAUUACUGGGCGUAAAGAGUUCGUAGGCGGAUCCUUAAGUUCGGCAUGAAAGGCCGGGGCUCAACCCCGCGCUCGUGUCGGAUACUGGGGAUCUGGAAUCGGGGAGAGGUUGGCAGAAUGGUACGAGUAGGGGUGCAAUCCGUUGAUACGUACCGGAAUACCGAAAGCGAAGGCAGCCAACUGGAACCGCAUUGACGCUGAGGAACGAAAGCGUGGGGAGCGAAA